ACACGUCUACUAUUAGACUUACCCGUGUACGUCCCAGACCGUAAACUAUGCGCGUUAGGUGUAUCGGUGACCACGAGUUACCGAGGUGCCGAAGGGAACCGUGAAACGUGCCGCCUGGGAAGUACGGUCGCAAGGCUGAAACUUAAAGGAAUUGGCGGGGGAGCACAACAACGGGUGGAGCCUGCGGUUUAAUUGGACUCAACGCCGGACAACUCACCGGGAACGACAGCAAUAUGUAGGCCAGGCUGAAGACCUUGCCUGAAUCGCUG
RNAcentral lists this ribosomal RNA (269 nucleotides) under uncultured archaeon. RNAcentral describes it as "partial 16S ribosomal RNA". It matches the Rfam family "Archaeal small subunit ribosomal RNA", at positions 717 to 982 of the family's 1478-position model. The record is from RNAcentral.